Molecule: ribosomal RNA, 446 nt
Filed under: uncultured bacterium
Lineage: Bacteria
Description: bacterial SSU rRNA
Rfam family: Bacterial small subunit ribosomal RNA
Source: RNAcentral
UCGGGAAUUUUGGGCAAUGGGCGAAAGCCUGACCCAGCAACGCCGCGUGAAGGAUGAAGUAUUUCGGUAUGUAAACUUCGAAAGAAUAGGAAGAAUAAAUGACGGUACUAUUAUAAGGUCCGGCUAACUACGUGCCAGCAGCCGCGGUAAUACGUAGGGACCAAGCGUUGUUCGGAUUUACUGGGCGUAAAGGGCGCGUAGGCGGCAUGACAAGUCACUUGUGAAAUCUCUGGGCUUAACCCAGAACGGCCAAGUGAUACUGUCGCGCUAGGGUGCAGAAGGGGCAAUCGGAAUUCUUGGUGUAGCGGUGAAAUGCGUAGAUAUCAAGAGGAACACCUGAGGUGAAGACGGGUUGCUGGGCUGACACUGACGCUGAGGCGCGAAAGCCAGGGGAGCAAACGGGAUUAGAUACCCACGUAGUCCCUGAGCGGGCUGGCAAGGCGCAU